RNAcentral lists this ribosomal RNA (488 nucleotides) under uncultured bacterium. RNAcentral's name for it is "partial 16S ribosomal RNA". It matches the Rfam family "Bacterial small subunit ribosomal RNA", at positions 28 to 507 of the family's 1533-position model. The record is from RNAcentral.
GACGAACGCUGGCGGCGUGCUUAACACAUGCAAGUCGAACGGAAAGGCCCUGCUUUUGUGGGGUGCUCGAGUGGCGAACGGGUGAGUAACACGUGAGUAACCUGCCCUUGACUUUGGGAUAACUUCAGGAAACUGGGGCUAAUACCGGAUAGGAGCUCCUGCUGCAUGGUGGGGGUUGGAAAGUUUCGGCGGUUGGGGAUGGACUCGCGGCUUAUCAGCUUGUUGGUGGGGUAGUGGCUUACCAAGGCGUUGACGGGUAGCCGGCCUGAGAGGGUGACCGGCGACACUGGAGCUGGGCCACGGACCAGACUCCUACGAGACGCCGCAGUCGGCAAUAUUGGACAGAGGGCGCAAGCAUGAUCCAGCCAUACCGAGUCUGUGACGACGGCCUUCGGGUUGUAAAGCCCUCCUGUUGGGUAAGAACAGCAGCCGCUUAAUACCAAGCUGUUCUGACGGUACUCAAAGAAUAAGCACCGGCUAACUUCGUG